RNAcentral lists this ribosomal RNA (423 nucleotides) under uncultured bacterium. RNAcentral describes it as "bacterial SSU rRNA". It matches the Rfam family "Bacterial small subunit ribosomal RNA", at positions 355 to 776 of the family's 1533-position model. The record is from RNAcentral.
UGAGGAAUAUUGGUCAAUGGCCGCAGGGCUGAACCAGCCAAGUCGCGUGAGGGAUGACGGUCCUAUGGAUUGUAAACCUCUUUUGUCAGGGAGCAAAGGGCGCCACGUGUGGCGCUUUGCGAGUACCUGAAGAAAAAGCAUCGGCUAACUCCGUGCCAGCAGCCGCGGUAAUACGGAGGAUGCGAGCGUUAUCCGGAUUUAUUGGGUUUAAAGGGUGCGUAGGCGGCCUGCCAAGUCAGCGGUAAAAUUGCGGGGCUCAACCCCGUACAGCCGUUGAAACUGCCGGGCUCGAGUGGGCGAGAAGUAUGCGGAAUGCGUGGUGUAGCGGUGAAAUGCAUAGAUAUCACGCAGAACUCCGAUUGCGAAGGCAGCAUACCGGCGCUCAACUGACGCUCAUGCACGAAAGCGUGGGUAUCGAACAGG